UGAGGAAUAUUGGUCAAUGGGCGAGAGCCUGAACCAGCCAAGUAGCGUGCAGGAUGACGGCCCUAUGGGUUGUAAACUGCUUUUAUGUGGGGAUAAAGUGCGUGACGUGUCAUGCAUUGCAGGUACCACAUGAAUAAGGACCGGCUAAUUCCGUGCCAGCAGCCGCGGUAAUACGGAAGGUCCGGGCGUUAUCCGGAUUUAUUGGGUUUAAAGGGAGCGUAGGCUGUCUAUUAAGCGUGUUGUGAAAUAUACCGGCUCAACCGGUGGCUUGCAGCGCGAACUGGUCGACUUGAGUACGCAGGAAGUAGGCGGAAUUCAUGGUGUAGCGGUGAAAUGCUUAGAUAUCAUGACGAACUCCGAUUGCGCAGGCAGCUUACUGUAGCAUAACUGACGCUGAUGCUCGAAAGUGCGGGUAUCAAACAGG
Molecule: ribosomal RNA, 424 nt
Filed under: Verrucomicrobiota bacterium
Lineage: Bacteria; Pseudomonadati; Verrucomicrobiota
Description: Verrucomicrobia bacterium partial 16S ribosomal RNA
Rfam family: Bacterial small subunit ribosomal RNA
Source: RNAcentral